This 556-nucleotide ribosomal RNA is filed under the name Pleotrichocladium opacum. RNAcentral's name for it is "eukaryotic LSU rRNA". It matches the Rfam family "Eukaryotic large subunit ribosomal RNA", at positions 50 to 608 of the family's 3401-position model. The record is from RNAcentral. Lineage: Eukaryota; Fungi; Ascomycota; Dothideomycetes; Pleosporales; Melanommataceae.
GCGGAGGAAAAGAAACCAACAGGGAUUGCCCCAGUAACGGCGAGUGAAGCGGCAAUAGCUCAAAUUUGAAAUCUGGCUCUUUCAGGGUCCGAGUUGUAAUUUGCAGAGGGCGCUUUGGCGUCGGCAGCAGCCUAAGUUCCUUGGAACAGGUCAUCAUAGAGGGUGAGAAUCCCGUAUGUGGCUGCUUGUCUUCGCCGUGUAAAGCCCCCUUCGAUGAGUCGAGUUGUUUGGGAAUGCAGCUCUAAAUGGGAGGUAAAUUUCUUCUAAAGCUAAAUAUUGGCCAGAGACCGAUAGCGCACAAGUAGAGUGAUCGAAAGAUGAAAAGCACUUUGGAAAGAGAGUCAAAAAGCACGUGAAAUUGUUGAAAGGGAAGCGCUUGCAGCCAGACGUGCCCGUAGUUGCUCAUCGGGGGUUCUCCCCCGUGUACUCUUCUAUGGGCAGGCCAGCAUCAGUCCGGGCGGUUGGAGAAAGACCUGUGUCAUGUAGCUGUUUUCGGGUCAGUGUUAUAGGGCAGGUGGAAUGCAACCAGCCUGGACUGAGGUCCGCGCAUCUGCUA